UGUGUUAGUGUGUGGUAGUGUGUGUUAGUGUGUGUUAGAGUGUGUUGGUGUUUGUUAGUGUGUGGUAGAGUGUGGUAGUGUUUGUUAGUGUGUAGUAGUGUUUGUUAGUGUGUUAGUGUGUGGUAGUGUGUGUUAGUGUGUGGUACAGUGUGUUAGUGUGUGGUAGAGUGUGGUAGUGUGUGGUAGUGUUUGUUAGUGUGUGUUAGUGUUUGUUAGUGUGAUAGUGUGUGGUAGUGUGUGUUAGUGUGUGGUAGAGUGUGGUAGUGUGUGGUAGUGUUUGUUAGUGUGUGGUAGUGUUUGUUAGUGUGUGGUAGUGUGUGGUAGUGUGUGGUAGAGUGUGUUAGUGUGUGGUAGAGUGUGUUAGAGUGUGGUAGUGUGUGGUAGAGUGUGUUAGUGUGUGUUAGUGUUUGUUAGUGUGUGGUAGUGUGUGGUAGAGUGUGUUAGUGUGUGGUAGUGUGUGGUAGUGUGUUAGUGUUUGGUAGUGUGUGGUAGUGUUUGUUAGUGUGUGUUAGUGUGUGGUAGAGUGUGUUAGUGUGUGUUAGUGUUUGUUAGUGUGUGGUUGUGUUUGUUAGAGUGUGGUAGUGUGUGGUAGAGUGUGUUAGUGUUUGUUAGUGUGUGGUAGAGUGUGUUAGUGUUUGUUAGAGUGUGGUAGAGUGUGUUAGUGUUUGUUAGAGUGUGGUAGAGUGUGUUAGUGUGUGUUAGUGUGUGGUAGUGUUUGUUAGUGUUUGUUAGUGUGUGGUAGAGUGUGUUAGUGUGUGGUAGAGUGUGUUAGUGUUUGUUAGUGUGUGGUAGUGUUUGUUAGAGUGUGUUAGUGUGUGGUAGAGUGUGUUAGUGUGUGUUAGUGUGUGGUAGUGUGUGUUAGUGUUUGUUAGUGUGUGGUAGUGUGUGGUAGAGUGUGGUAGAGUGUGUUAGUGUUUGUUAGUGUGUGGUAGUGUUUGUUAGAGUGUGUUAGUGUGUGGUAGAGUGUGUUAGUGUGUGUUAGUGUGUGGUAGUGUGUGUUAGUGUUUGUUAGUGUGUGGUAGUGUGUGGUAGAGUGUGUUAGUGUGUGGUAGUGUUUGUUAGUGUGUGGUAGUGUGUGGUAGAGUGUGUUAGUGUGUGAUAGUGUUUGUUAGGGUGCUAGUGUGUAUUACUGUCAAUUAGACAGUGGUACUGUGUGUUAGUGUGUGUUAGUGUGAAUUAGAGACUGAUAAUAUGUUAGUGUGUUUGUGUUAAUUAGAGGGUGUUAGAAUGUGUUAGUGUUUGUUAUUGUGUUGGUGUGUUUAGGCUUGUGUUAACACUGUGUUGUGUCUCAUGUGAAUGUUAAAGUCCGUACCGAAUUUGCUAGUCUUACAGUUUUACAGCAUUGCAGGCCUUGACACAUAUGCCUGAUGUCAGCGUUAGCACAGUAAGACUCCAGUGUCAGACUGUACUGUCACUGGCGUCUUUUGUGGAUCUGCCUAGGUCAUACCUGGCCUUUUUGUACUCAUUUGUGUUGCCUGAGAUGAAUGCAGUGGAGUGGACAUGCAGCAAGGACCGAACCUCAGAGUCAGAAACGGAGCAGGGAGAUCAGAUGCAGUUUUCCCUCUCCAUCACCCAUCACAUCUGCCCCCUGCCUCCUUCCCCCCACCUCCAAUUUUUUUACCCCAGAUGUCCGGGGUACCAGUGUGCCAUGUGGCGUCUCGUUUCUCC
Molecule: long non-coding RNA, 1668 nt
Organism: Ictalurus furcatus (blue catfish)
Lineage: Eukaryota; Metazoa; Chordata; Actinopteri; Siluriformes; Ictaluridae
Exons: 3
Source: RefSeq, a predicted model, not a curated record